UCCCUCCCCCAUGUAUCUCCCUCUCUAUCUCACACUGGAGCUCCAUCAAUAUGUGUUUCCUGUAAUGAAUACGUUUCAAAACUCCUCUCGUCAAAAUAUAUUUUUCAGUGCUAACUAUAAUAAUUUUUGUUUUUUAACAAAUAUUAUUUAUUUUA
Long non-coding RNA from Amphimedon queenslandica, 155 nucleotides. RefSeq lists it as uncharacterized. Lineage: Eukaryota; Metazoa; Porifera; Demospongiae; Haplosclerida; Niphatidae. The transcript has 2 exons. The record is from RefSeq and is a predicted model, not a curated record.